Molecule: long non-coding RNA, 274 nt
Filed under: Rattus norvegicus (Norway rat)
Lineage: Eukaryota; Metazoa; Chordata; Mammalia; Rodentia; Muridae
Description: long non-coding RNA NONRATT024884
Source: RNAcentral
GACCUUCUUGGGGGCCGCAUCCUUCGCAGACUCUAAGAUUUCAGAAUGACUACCAUCUUGACUUCCACUUUUAGAAACCUUUCUACUACAUCAAAAUGGGCCCUCAGAUUUUCUGUAAGACCUCUGAGCUGUUCUUCACAAGUACAGUCUGCCCCAGCUGUCCAGACCAAGUCAAAGAAGACUUUAGCAAAACCUAAUCUAAAGAACAUUGUGGUGGUGGAAGGUGUCCGAAUUCCAUUUCUGCUGUCAGGCACUUCGUAAGUAUAAACUGCUC